ACGAUCUUAAUGAUGUUAAUAGUUCACGUAGAGAGUCCCUUCCACUGCCAAUCUCUAGGGCGUGUUUGAUAACGUUUUCCUGGAAGUUGGAACUUAUUACUACUCUUCAUGUUUCGUGUUUGAUAAAAAAAAUGAGAGUUUAAAUGGGAACUCCACGUACCGUUCAUCUUUCUAUUUCGCGUGUAAAAAAAGAUCCGACCAAAAGUUCGGAACUUAAAAUUGGAACUUCGUUUUGGAACUUCACCCCCGAACCCUACUUCUUCUUCUUCUUCUCUUUUCUUCGUUCCCAUCUGCCCAACUUCGGCCGCUGAGCACCCCUCUCUUCGCAGCACGCCACUAUCUGUGGCAGACCACUCUCUUCACACGUUGCCCUCGGUAGGGUUUACUCGGCUGUUCUUGAGCUCUGAUUCUUGCUAUUGAUUUUGAGAUUUUUCGCAACAGUCCAAUAGAUCAGAGCUCAGUUACAAAAAAAAUAGAGCUCAGUUACAAAAUAAUCAGAGCUUAGAGGAAGGUCACUUCUAUUCUCUGUCCUUUUUGCCCAUAAAGGAUUAUCCGUCGCCGAGGGAUAGUUCGUGUACUGUGCACUGCUAAUCCCAAGCAUAAGCAAAGGCAAGGGAUGUCUACCUUUGCUUAUGAAGGUCCUCUGCCUCCCCUCAUCUCUGAGAGUGCUAGUUCACAGCAAAAUUUAUCAU
Amborella trichopoda is the source of this 692-nucleotide long non-coding RNA. RefSeq lists it as uncharacterized. Lineage: Eukaryota; Viridiplantae; Streptophyta; Magnoliopsida; Amborellales; Amborellaceae. The record is from RefSeq and is a predicted model, not a curated record.